RNAcentral lists this unclassified non-coding RNA (545 nucleotides) under Aristida benthamii. Its description in RNAcentral is "partial miscellaneous RNA". The record is from RNAcentral. Lineage: Eukaryota; Viridiplantae; Streptophyta; Magnoliopsida; Poales; Poaceae.
UUCUCUUAAUGGAUAAGGUUUUUCUACUAACAUAUAGAAAUUUUUAAAGGAAGAAAAGCCAGAAAUACCCAAUAUCUUGUCCCAACAAGAUAUUGGGUAUUUCUUUGUUUAUUCUUAAUCUUUCUAUUCUGAAUUCAGUUAACGACGAGAUUUAGUAUCCUUUCUUGCACUUUCAUAACUCGUGAAAUGCCGAGUAGGCACGAAUUCUCCCAAUUUGCGACCUACCAUAGGAUUUGUUAUGUAAAUAGGUAUAUGUUCCUUUCCAUUAUGAAUCGCGAUUGUAUGGCCAACCAUUGCGGGUAGAAUGCUAGAUGCCCGGGACCACGUUACUAUUGUUUCUUUCUCCUCCUUCAUAUUGACCUUUUCGAUUUUUGCCAAUAAAUGACGAGCUACAAAAGGAUUCGUUUUUUUUCGUGUCACAGCUGAUUACUCCUUUUUUCAUUUUAAAGAGUGGCAUCCUAUGUCCACUAUCUCGAUCGAGGUAUGGAGGUCAGAAUAAAUAGAAUAAUGAUGAAUGGAAAAASKAGAAAAUCCUUUAGCUGGAU